This 20-nucleotide unclassified non-coding RNA is filed under the name Chlamydomonas reinhardtii. RNAcentral's name for it is "small RNA Cre_0112". Lineage: Eukaryota; Viridiplantae; Chlorophyta; Chlorophyceae; Chlamydomonadales; Chlamydomonadaceae. The record is from RNAcentral.
AAGCCCCUUGAUGAGAGUGG